UGGGAUAGCUCAGUUUGUAGAGCAUGAGACCCUUAAUUUCAGGGCCAAGGGUUCGAGACCCACAUUGAGCAAAA
This 74-nucleotide transfer RNA is filed under the name Podarcis lilfordi (Lilford's wall lizard). RNAcentral's name for it is "tRNA.Lys". The record is from RNAcentral. Lineage: Eukaryota; Metazoa; Chordata; Lepidosauria; Squamata; Lacertidae.